UCGAAAUCGGUAGACGCUACGGACUUAAAAGAAAAUCCGUUGGCUUUUUAGACCGUGAGGGUUCAAGUCCCUCUACCCCCA
Molecule: transfer RNA, 81 nt
Filed under: Cephaloziella aspericaulis
Lineage: Eukaryota; Viridiplantae; Streptophyta; Jungermanniopsida; Jungermanniales; Cephaloziellaceae
Description: partial tRNA-Leu
Source: RNAcentral